This is a long non-coding RNA of Bombina bombina (fire-bellied toad), 298 nucleotides long. RefSeq lists it as uncharacterized. The record is from RefSeq and is a predicted model, not a curated record. The transcript has 3 exons. Lineage: Eukaryota; Metazoa; Chordata; Amphibia; Anura; Bombinatoridae.
UUUUGUUUACCUUUAAUAUAACAUUUGUGUGUAUCUUUUCUCAGUUUGACCGUAUAAUUCUCUGUGUCUUCCUGGAGAAAGAUGAAGAGCUAUAUCUCCAGAAAAUGCCUGAAUAUUUCCCUUUCGCCUAAGCAGAAAUGGUGCCCCGUGUGGUAGGGACUCAGAAGAGCCAUAAACUGUAGCAUUUAGUCUACAGACACUAUUGAUCCUUUUUGAUUGACUGAUCCUGUUCAAACCCAUCCCAUAAUCACCCUGUGUGCUGUGUAAUGAUCUCAAUAAAGUAAUUUCUGCGAAAACA